RNAcentral lists this ribosomal RNA (263 nucleotides) under uncultured bacterium. RNAcentral describes it as "partial 16S ribosomal RNA". It matches the Rfam family "Bacterial small subunit ribosomal RNA", at positions 793 to 1055 of the family's 1533-position model. The record is from RNAcentral.
GUCCACGCCCUAAACGAUGGGUACUAGACGUCGGGAAGCUUGUCUUCUUGGUGUCGCAGCUAACGCAAUAAGUACCCCGCCUGGGGAGUACGGUCGCAAGAUUAAAACUCAAAGGAAUUGACGGGGGCCCGCACAAGCGGUGGAGCAUGUGGUUCAAUUCGAUGCAACGCGAAAACCUUAACCUGCCCUUGACAUCUGGGUAAUCCUGCAGAGAUGCGGGAGUGCCGCAAGGAACCCCAAGACAGGUGCUGCAUGGCUGUCGU